RNAcentral lists this small RNA (3676 nucleotides) under Pongo abelii (Sumatran orangutan). RNAcentral describes it as "retained intron". Lineage: Eukaryota; Metazoa; Chordata; Mammalia; Primates; Hominidae. The record is from RNAcentral.
CCGUCGCUGACCCUGUUAUCCAUUUGACACAUGGAAAUACCCAAGGAUGUUCUGUUUCUCUUGAAAGAGCAACUCCCCGCUUUAGUGUGUGGCUUAUUUGGAUUCUUGGUUGGCUGUGGUAGUGCUGCUGUCAUCUCAUCUCCGGCAGAUGCUGGUGCCAGUCAUCACAGGACUUGGAAGCUGAGUCAGGAGGAAGGGAACAUGCUCCUCCAAGUCUGGACUAACUCCUGAUAAAAGGGAAUUCAGAAGGAAGGAGUCACUUGGUUUUCUCUCUUUAUUUAUGUAACCCUCACAGUGCGAGGCUGCAAGCUGGGACUGGGGGUACAGAGGUGCAAAAGACAGAUGUGCUGCCCACUUUCAUGAGGCUUAGAGCCUGGUGCAGUUGUCUGUUGUGGGAAUUACAAAAUAGUAGGCAACUGCUCACGGCUGAUGUAUUUUAUUUGGUCCAUAUGGAAUCCUAAAAUUUUGUCGUUGUUAGUUCCCAGUGUUUAAAAAUUGGGAUAGUUUAUCUAAAACUCCAGAUUUCUGGCUUCUCUUAACAAAUCAGAAGACUUGGCAACUCAAGGUCCAACGUUAGGCUGACAGCAAUUUGUCUUCGCUGAGUAGUGAUGUUCAUCACAAACCACACCUCUCCCUGUGACCUCCCUAACAGAGAGUGGUGUCAGGUCCCAUUUAUCAUCACACAUUUUUUUUUAUUGUGGCGCCAAGGGGAAAGAUCCCUAAAUAAAUUAUAUCUGCAAAGACUCUGUUUUCCAAAUAAGACGUUUCUAUCAAAAUGUACCUUUUACACAUCCUACUUGGCUCUUUUAUAUAAUGAUAUGGCUCCCAAAGGCAUUUGUUUGUGACAUGCAGAUGUUUCCUUUCCUGUAAAAAGGCAGAGCCUGGGAGGUAGGAGUGAUUGCUGUUCAGGGGAAGGUGAAUACGAUGUCUCUUCUUUGUAAGCAGGAUUGUCAUGAUCUUGAAAUGAUACUGGGGAGAUUUUACAGUUGAAUCAGUUUUUUUUAGAAAAAAAACUUUGUGACAAAGUGCAGGUAAAAGAAAUGUGACCUGAUUAUGAAGUCCUUAAUUUAAAUGUUAUAUUCAAGCAGCUGCUAGAACAGUGACUAGAACAGUCCCUGGCACAUAGUAGAUUACUGAUAAAUAUUUGUCGAAUGAAUGAUUUGAAAAUGAAAUUUUAUGACACCAACUUCUUUUUUAAAGAAAGUAUAACAGGAAAAGGAAUCUUUGAAAACACCUUCGCCUCUGAGUUUUCUCUGGCUUCCUCCUUCUUUCUUUUCCCCCACACUCCACCCUCAUAUACAUGUUAGAUAAAAUAUGUUAAAGAAAACUUUUCAUUCUUACAUAGUCAAAGAAGGGAGCCAGCACUGGUUAUGUUCAUGUAAGGCUUUAAAGAGUUUAUCCAUGUUCUCCAACCUGGAUCAGUGUUGUUGUCCUUGCCUACAAUAAUCUUCCUCUCUCUUUUGUCCAAAUUAAGUCCCAAUCCUCCUGGUUAAGUUCCAAUUCACAAGGACCUCCAUGAAUCCGUCCUGAUCAUUUCUGUCUCCAGGGCCCCUAUGCAUAGUAAUAAUAUAACUAAUAACAAAUGUGAUAAUAACAGUAACAUUAACACUAUAAAAUAACACUUCUUGAGAUUUUAUUGUGUACCAGGUCCUGUGUGAAAUACUUUACAUGCAUUAUUUCAUUUGGUCCUGACACAAAUCCAACUAAGUAGGGACUUUUAUGAUCAUUUCCAUUUUCCAGAUGCAGAAACUGAGUGUCAGAGAGGAAAUUACUUGCUAAAGGUUACACAGCUAGCCAGUGGCAGGCUCCAUGCUUGAACCCAGCCCUGCCCGACUACACAGCCUCUGCCCUCGUGUAUUUACCAUACUGCCUCCCUGAUUUCUGACUGGUUCCUGGAGCACUUAAAGUGGAGCAACUACUUCACACUCAGCAUGUGCUGCCUUUUAUUGCUACGAACACAUCUUUUUAGGUUCAGGCCCUGUUUAUUCAAAUAAAUUAUCAGGGCCUUGAGGGCAAGAAAUGAUUUUAUAUCAGCUUGCCUCACUAGGACUUAGCACAAUGCUCUCAAAUAAUAGGAGCCUAGUUAACUGCUCCUUUAUUUCCACAGUUCUUUAAUCAAACUUCAAAGGCAGCAUUUAUUACAUUUACAAGUCUUAUUGUUUGCAUCUGUCCCCACUUCCAGCCUGGAAACAUCAGGUAUCCCUUAUCUGUGACUCAGCACUGAGCACGUGGGAGCUGCUCAAUAAAUACUGCUGAGGAAUUGAGUUAAUGGUUCUCGUCAAUACUGAUGAUUAACCAGGAUUAACGUUUUCUCUUUUAAAUUUCAUUUUCCAUCUCUGCGUGCCGUCUUUUUAUUGUUCUGCAUUUACUCAAGUUACUGUAUUAGACAGUGAACUUAAACAUUCAACUUGAAAAAAAUUCAGCAACGCAAAUAAAUAAAUAAAUGUAAUCCGACAUAUUUAUCCCUUCUAAUUUUGUUGUAGCUUUCCCUGGACCUCUAUCACACUGAAGAUGAUAUUUACAAACUGUCACUGGUGCUGGAGCCUAGAAAUCCUAAAUCGCAGCCUACCUCCCCUACGACGCCCAACAAGCCUGUGGUGCCCCUGGAGUGGGCAUUAGGGGUGAUGCCAAAGCCAGACCCCACGGUCAUCAACAAGCACAUAAGGAAAUUAGUGGAGGUAAGUGGUUGAGGGAGAAUAAAGAGAGGGCACUAGAAGACCCUUUCUCUUUCCAGAAUAUUCCGCGAUUGUCCAGGAAUCUGAUGGAACCCAUGCAAACAACCCUCUGGCAGCUAGGAACAAUUUAGCAGGCACUUAGUGCUACCUGGCAUUGGACCCUGGGGAGAGUUGAUCAGAAAGGCCCUCUUCCCUUUGUUGUCUCUCUUGCCCAGAUACUCUCAGCUACUUCCAGCUCCUCUCUUUCCCAGGCAUUUGCCACCUCUGUCAUUGUCAACAGCUCAAGGGAUUGGGGAUUAGAAUCACUCAUGAAAAACCCACAUAGGUCCUACUAAGAAUGCCCAAUAAAUUGAUUACCCAAGGGCAGGAAAGAAAUCCUGUAAGUUGGAUAGUUUCUCCUUUUGUAUAGUUUUGGAAUUUUAUGACACAGCAGCCCAAUGUUAUUGAGAUUAGAAAAAUCACCUAAUGUAGGACAAGGCUCUGUCAGAGUUUUCCGUGUAGAAAAAAGAGUAGGGCCGGGCACGGUGGCUCACGCCUGUAAUCCCAGCACUUUGGGAGGCCGAGGCGGGCGGAUCACGAGGUCAGGAGAACGAGACCAUCCUGGCUAACACGGUGAAAACCCGUCUCUACUAAAAAUACAAAAAAUUAGCCGGGCGCGAUGGCGGGUGCCUGUAGUCUCAGCUACUCAGGAGGCUGAGGCAGGAGAAUGGCGUGAACCCUGGAAGCAGAGCUUGCAGUGAGGUGAGAUCGCGCCCCUGCACUCCAGCCUGGGUGACAGAGUGAGACUCCGUCUGGAAAAAAAAAAAAAAAAAAAAAAAAAAAAAGAAAAGAAAAGAAAAAAGAGUAGAAGUGCCGAUGCGGGGAACAUGGAAACAUCUCGGGUACAGGAAACUGUGGUCCUGAAUUAAAUGUCUACUUUAAUGGAUUGGUAGGUACAUCUGCUGGUGCAACAGAAUUGAGUCUUUGGGAUAGAAUGUGCUUUUUGCUGGGAGAAGAUAUUU